RNAcentral lists this ribosomal RNA (494 nucleotides) under uncultured bacterium. RNAcentral's name for it is "partial 16S ribosomal RNA". It matches the Rfam family "Bacterial small subunit ribosomal RNA", at positions 28 to 507 of the family's 1533-position model. The record is from RNAcentral.
GACGAACGCUGGCGGCGUGCUUAACACAUGCAAGUCGAACGGAAAGGCCUGCUUUCCCUUGUGGAUUGCGGGUACUCGAGUGGCGAACGGGUGAGUAACACGUGAGUGAUCUGCCCCCAACUUGGGUAUAAGCCUGGGAAACUGGGUCUAAUUCCCGAUAGGACUGCAGGGUGGUGCCUGUGGUGGAACACGAUUUUCUAGUGGUUGGGGAUGAGCUCGCGGCCUAUCAGCUUGUUGGUGGGGUAAUGGCCUACCAAGGCGGCGACGGGUAGCCGGCCUGAGAGGGUGGACGGCCACAGUGGGACUGAGAUACGGCCCAGACUCCUACGGGAGGCAGCAGUGGGGAAUAUUGCACAAUGGGCGGAAGCCUGAUGCAGCGACGCCGCGUGGGGGAUGACGGCCUUCGGGUUGUAAACUCCUUUCGACCGCGAGGAAGCCACCUGGUUGGAAGGGUGGUGACGGUAGUGGUAGAAGAAGCACCGGCUAACUACGUG